AUACCAAAAAGAAUACAGAUAUAGUUUGUAUAUUUUGUAGGCAGUUGUUUAAAAACAGCAAAUAAUCGAAAACAAACGAUUAAGAAACAAAACGCUUGAAACCAAGGAGAUAUUAAAACUAGAAAUUUUUAAUAACCUCAUUAACAUUUAUAGACUACCACAGUCAAGUUAGUGUAUUUCAAUCGGACGGGACUUUGCACCAUGAAAAUGAAUGGAUUACUGGAAGUACUCCUGUUCACAUGGAGUCCUUCCUUCUUGGUGCCCGUCGGGCUGUUGGAAGGUAAAGAAGGCCGAUUGUCUAGGCCUGAUCCUUACUGAAUUGUGUCCUGAAUGAGCUCAUAGGGAGGGCAAUUAGCGCCCUCCUUUUCCGGCGCCCGGACUUAGCGUAGGAUUAGAAUAGAUUACUGGAAGGACUCCGGUUCUCACGGAGUCCGUCCUUCUCAUCCAGGGUCACCGACCGGCUGGGUCCGCCUGGUCCUUUCUCAUAGAAUUGUGUCCUGAUUGAGCUCAUAGGGAGGGCAGUUAGCGCCCUCCUUUACCGGCGCCCGGACAUAGCCUAGAAGUAGAAUAGAUUACUGGAAGGACUUCGGUUUUCACGGAGUCCUUCCUUCUCAUCCAGGGUCACCGACCGGCUGGGUCGGCCUGGUCCUUUCUCAUAGAAUUGUGUCCUGAUUGAGCUCAUGGGGAGGGCAGUUAGCGCCCUCCUUUUCCGGCACCCGGACAUAGCCUAGAAGUAGAAUAGACUACUGGAAGGACUCCGGUUCUCACGGGGUCCUUCCUUCUCAUCCAAGGUCACCGACCGGCUGGGCCGCCUGGUCCUUUCUCAUAGAAUUGUGUCCUGAUUGAGCUCGUAGGGAGGGCAGUUAGCGCCCUCCUUUUCCGGCGCCCGGACUUAGCCUAGGACUAGAAUAGAUUACGGGAAGGACUCCGAUUCUCGCGGAGUCUUUCCUUUGGGUCAUUUCGUCAGGUCGUUAGUAUUAGCAACCACACAUUUGAAAUUUCUAGUAAAAAAUAUAUUUUGGUAAACAGGAAUGAAAAUGGAAAUAUCAAAAUCAGAAAUGCAUCACAUAAAAAUUCCUAAAUAUAGAUGUUCAUUUAC
Molecule: long non-coding RNA, 1099 nt
Organism: Cimex lectularius (bed bug)
Lineage: Eukaryota; Metazoa; Arthropoda; Insecta; Hemiptera; Cimicidae
Exons: 8
Source: RefSeq, a predicted model, not a curated record